GGUGUUGAGUAGGGAAUGGGGGGCGAGGUACACUGGCGCUCGGCAGGUUAGGCGGGAGGCUUGAGGCUCUGGGCUGGAGGUCAAGGAUGCAUUCCAAGAAAGCUCUAAAGAUAUAUCACCAGCUCCAACCGUAUAGUUGACCUAGCCAUGGAAAACCUCAUUGGAACCUUACUAGAUCAAAGCAUAAUUUGCCAUCUUAAAAAAUAUGCUUCCCAUCAGAAAGUAUCAGGAAUAAAAAUCUGAGAUAUAUACCCACCACUUCAAGGAAGUUCCAGUGUCAGCCAGCAGUUUAGCAGAUCAGCUAGUUUUUUUGAUCAUCAAGCAGACGUAGUCAAGCUACCAACACAACAGAAGAAAAUGUCUCUGUAU
This 369-nucleotide long non-coding RNA is filed under the name Bos taurus (domestic cattle). RNAcentral describes it as "long non-coding RNA NONBTAT022788". Lineage: Eukaryota; Metazoa; Chordata; Mammalia; Artiodactyla; Bovidae. The record is from RNAcentral.